GGUUAAGCGACUAAGCGUACACGGUGGAUGCCCUGGCAGUCAGAGGCGAUGAAGGACGUGCUAAUCUGCGAUAAGCGUCGGUAAGGUGAUAUGAACCGUUAUAACCGGCGAUUUCCGAAUGGGGAAACCCAGUGUGAUUCGUCACACUAUCAUUAACUGAAUCCAUAGGUUAAUGAGGCGAACCGGGGGAACUGAAACAUCUAAGUACCCCGAGGAAAAGAAAUCAACCGAGAUUCCCCCAGUAGCGGCGAGCGAACGGGGAGCAGCCCAGAGCCUGAAUCAGUGUGUGUGUUAGUGGAAGCGUCUGGAAAGGCGCGCGAUACAGGGUGACAGCCCCGUACACAAAAAUGCACAUACUGUGAGCUCGAUGAGUAGGGCGGGACACGUGGUAUCCUGUCUGAAUAUGGGGGGACCAUCCUCCAAGGCUAAAUACUCCUGACUGACCGAUAGUGAACCAGUACCGUGAGGGAAAGGCGAAAAGAACCCCGGCGAGGGGAGUGAAAAAGAACCUGAAACCGUGUACGUACAAGCAGUGGGAGCCUCUUUAUGGGGUGACUGCGUACCUUUUGUAUAAUGGGUCAGCGACUUAUAUUCUGUAGCAAGGUUAACCGAAUAGGGGAGCCGAAGGAAACCGAGUCUUAACUGGGCGUUAAGUUGCAGGGUAUAGACCCGAAACCCGGUGAUCUAGCCAUGGGCAGGUUGAAGGUUGGGUAACACUAACUGGAGGACCGAACCGACUAAUGUUGAAAAAUUAGCGGAUGACUUGUGGCUGGGGGUGAAAGGCCAAUCAAACCGGGAGAUAGCUGGUUCUCCCCGAAAGCUAUUUAGGUAGCGCCUCGUGAAUUCAUCUCCGGGGGUAGAGCACUGUUUCGGCAAGGGGGUCAUCCCGACUUACCAACCCGAUGCAAACUGCGAAUACCGGAGAAUGUUAUCACGGGAGACACACGGCGGGUGCUAACGUCCGUCGUGAAGAGGGAAACAACCCAGACCGCCAGCUAAGGUCCCAAAGUCAUGGUUAAGUGGGAAACGAUGUGGGAAGGCCCAGACAGCCAGGAUGUUGGCUUAGAAGCAGCCAUCAUUUAAAGAAAGCGUAAUAGCUCACUGGUCGAGUCGGCCUGCGCGGAAGAUGUAACGGGGCUAAACCAUGCACCGAAGCUGCGGCAGCGACACUAUGUGUUGUUGGGUAGGGGAGCGUUCUGUAAGCCUGUGAAGGUGUACUGUGAGGUAUGCUGGAGGUAUCAGAAGUGCGAAUGCUGACAUAAGUAACGAUAAAGCGGGUGAAAAGCCCGCUCGCCGGAAGACCAAGGGUUCCUGUCCAACGUUAAUCGGGGCAGGGUGAGUCGACCCCUAAGGCGAGGCCGAAAGGCGUAGUCGAUGGGAAACAGGUUAAUAUUCCUGUACUUGGUGUUACUGCGAAGGGGGGACGGAGAAGGCUAUGUUGGCCGGGCGACGGUUGUCCCGGUUUAAGCGUGUAGGCUGGUUUUCCAGGCAAAUCCGGAAAAUCAAGGCUGAGGCGUGAUGACGAGGCACUACGGUGCUGAAGCAACAAAUGCCCUGCUUCCAGGAAAAGCCUCUAAGCAUCAGGUAACAUCAAAUCGUACCCCAAACCGACACAGGUGGUCAGGUAGAGAAUACCAAGGCGCUUGAGAGAACUCGGGUGAAGGAACUAGGCAAAAUGGUGCCGUAACUUCGGGAGAAGGCACGCUGAUAUGUAGGUGAAGUCCCUCGCGGAUGGAGCUGAAAUCAGUCGAAGAUACCAGCUGGCUGCAACUGUUUAUUAAAAACACAGCACUGUGCAAACACGAAAGUGGACGUAUACGGUGUGACGCCUGCCCGGUGCCGGAAGGUUAAUUGAUGGGGUCAGCGCAAGCGAAGCUCUUGAUCGAAGCCCCGGUAAACGGCGGCCGUAACUAUAACGGUCCUAAGGUAGCGAAAUUCCUUGUCGGGUAAGUUCCGACCUGCACGAAUGGCGUAAUGAUGGCCAGGCUGUCUCCACCCGAGACUCAGUGAAAUUGAACUCGCUGUGAAGAUGCAGUGUACCCGCGGCAAGACGGAAAGACCCCGUGAACCUUUACUAUAGCUUGACACUGAACAUUGAGCCUUGAUGUGUAGGAUAGGUGGGAGGCUUUGAAGUGUGGACGCCAGUCUGCAUGGAGCCGACCUUGAAAUACCACCCUUUAAUGUUUGAUGUUCUAACGUUGGCCCCUGAUCGGGGUUGCGGACAGUGUCUGGUGGGUAGUUUGACUGGGGCGGUCUCCUCCUAAAGAGUAACGGAGGAGCACGAAGGUUGGCUAAUCCUGGUCGGACAUCAGGAGGUUAGUGCAAUGGCAUAAGCCAGCUUGACUGCGAGCGUGACGGCGCGAGCAGGUGCGAAAGCAGGUCAUAGUGAUCCGGUGGUUCUGAAUGGAAGGGCCAUCGCUCAACGGAUAAAAGGUACUCCGGGGAUAACAGGCUGAUACCGCCCAAGAGUUCAUAUCGACGGCGGUGUUUGGCACCUCGAUGUCGGCUCAUCACAUCCUGGGGCUGAAGUAGGUCCCAAGGGUAUGGCUGUUCGCCAUUUAAAGUGGUACGCGAGCUGGGUUUAGAACGUCGUGAGACAGUUCGGUCCCUAUCUGCCGUGGGCGCUGGAGAACUGAGGGGGGCUGCUCCUAGUACGAGAGGACCGGAGUGGACGCAUCACUGGUGUUCGGGUUGUCAUGCCAAUGGCACUGCCCGGUAGCUAAAUGCGGAAGAGAUAAGUGCUGAAAGCAUCUAAGCACGAAACUUGCCCCGAGAUGAGUUCUCCCUGACUCCUUGAGAGUCCUGAAGGAACGUUGAAGACGACGACGUUGAUAGGCCGGGUGUGUAAGCGCAGCGAUGCGUUGAGCUAACCGGUACUAAUGAACCGUGAGGCUUAACCUU
RNAcentral lists this ribosomal RNA (2901 nucleotides) under Escherichia coli. RNAcentral's name for it is "23S ribosomal RNA". It matches the Rfam family "Bacterial large subunit ribosomal RNA". The record is from RNAcentral. Lineage: Bacteria; Pseudomonadati; Pseudomonadota; Gammaproteobacteria; Enterobacterales; Enterobacteriaceae.